GUGCUCGCUUCGGUAGCACAUAUACUAAAAUUGGAACGAUACAGAGAAGCUUAGCAUGGCCCCUGCACAAGGAUGACACGCAAAUUCGUGAAGAGUUCCAUAUUUUA
This 107-nucleotide small nuclear RNA is filed under the name Echinops telfairi (small Madagascar hedgehog). Lineage: Eukaryota; Metazoa; Chordata; Mammalia; Afrosoricida; Tenrecidae. The record is from RNAcentral.